This 296-nucleotide ribosomal RNA is filed under the name uncultured bacterium. RNAcentral's name for it is "partial 16S ribosomal RNA". It matches the Rfam family "Bacterial small subunit ribosomal RNA", at positions 334 to 628 of the family's 1533-position model. The record is from RNAcentral.
GCGCCUACGGGGCGCAGCAGUGAGGAAUAUUGGUCAAUGGGCGAGAGCCUGAACCAGCCAAGUCGCGUGAGGGAGUACUGCCCUAUGGGUUGUAAACCUCUUUUGCCGGGGAGCAACGGGGUCCUUGCGAGGUCCCAAUGAGAGUACCCGGAGAAAAAGCAUCGGCUAACUCCGUGCCAGCAGCCGCGGUAAUACGGAGGAUGCGAGCGUUAUCCGGAUUUAUUGGGUUUAAAGGGUGCGUAGGCGGGCUGUUAAGUCAGCGGUCAAAUGUCGGGGCUCAACCCCGGCCUGCCGUU